Molecule: long non-coding RNA, 1085 nt
Filed under: Olea europaea subsp. europaea
Lineage: Eukaryota; Viridiplantae; Streptophyta; Magnoliopsida; Lamiales; Oleaceae
Source: RNAcentral
UUAAAGCAAAAUUACCUUCGAUUAAUCUCUCAAUAAUGUCUAAGUUGUUUACAAUGAAUGUUUUGAAAUCUAUUUAUAUUAAACUCUAAAAACCUAAUUAAAACGGAAAAGAAUAUUAAAAGAUUACAAAGAUACCAAAAAAUUAGUGUUUUAACAAAACUAAGAAACUUUUGUGAAAAGGGACAAAAUUGGUGUUGGAAUCAACCAUGCAGUCACAUAGUAUCUCCAGAUGUGGUCGCACAGACCAAGCUAAUUCCAAUUCCUUUGUCUCGGUAAAUAGGCAUGCGACCGUAAGCCUAUUUUGACUAUUCGAUCGCAUAUGUGGAAACUCCAUGCCCUCCAUCCAUUGCUUGAAUUAAAUUGAACCAACUUGUUUCUUCCUUUGACCCCAACAUGAAGCUUGUUGAUUUGUUCGUUGUAAUCAAUGUUUCAUCCACCGUGGUUUGAACAAACAAUCACAUCGCUUCUUUAACCCGCUUUGCUCGCGAUCGAGUCAUCGGCACUUCUUCGACAAUCAACGGGUCUUUGCUUGGAUUUGUAUUCAUUGCUUGUAUCACAUCGUGCAUCUUUUUUCCACAGUUAAAAACAAACUGACAUUUUCUUAGGUAACACAUUACAAGAUAUUCACAAUUCAAGUGUGUUGCCAUGCAUAUGCAAACAAUAAUAUUAAUCUCAUCUCUUCUACCAUAUGAAAAGAAGAGCCAACGAAACAACAAAAGAAGUUCUUACUUGUCACUGUCUGAACGUGACAAUGUAUAUGUUUGUCUCAAUAGGUUGUCCUGUGAAUAGCACAUUUAUAAUCCAUCACAUGAAUUUCAAAUUGUAAGUGUUCUGAUCCACCCGAACUUCCCGUGCAAGCUCCUCAAGUUCAAGUAUGAUGUACAAAUCAAGGGUUAAUAACCCAAAUGGUCACUGAACUUUGCAAAUAAUUUUCAAGGGAACACUGAACUUUAAAAAUUACUCAAAUCAUCACUGAACUUUGCAUAAAAUUUCCACGAGUUCACUGAAUUUUAAAAAUAUUGCAUUUAUCACUAAACUUUGCAAAAUGUUUUCACGAGGUCACUAAACUUUGCAAAGUUCAGUGA